AGCCUACUCUAGCCCAACCACACCUUGCAAGCCCAGUAACAAGAAUCUAUUCCACCACCUAACUAAAACAUUCUUUAAACUCAGUAUAGGCGAUAGAAAAGACCCAUUUGGAGCGAUAGAGACUCUGUACCGUAAGGGAAAGAUGAAAUAAUAAUGAAAAACCAAGCAGUAGACAGCAAAGAUAAAUCCUUGUACCUUUUGCAUCAUGGUUUAGCAAGAAUAACCAAGCAAAAUGAAUUUAAGCUUGCCAUCCCGAAACCCAAGCGAGCUACCUGCGAGCAGCUACCCAUGAGCGAACCCGUCUCUGUUGCAAAAGAGUGGGACGACUUGCUAGUAGAGGUGAAAAGCCAAUCGAGCUGGGUGAUAGCUGGUUGCCUGUGAAAUGAAUCUUAGUUCUCUCUUGACCCUCCUCUCCGGAUAUUUACCCUAACCCACAUGAGUGCGUCAAGAGCAACUUAAAGGAGGUACAGCUCCUUUAAAAAAGAAUACAACCUCUAUUAGUGGAUAACCAUCUAAAAUCCUUCUCAAACUGUAGGCCCUCAAGCAGCCAUCAACAAAGAGUGCGUCAAAGCUCCUCGCAUAAAAAUCCAAUAACUACAUGACUCCCUUUCCACUAACAGGCUAAUCUAUACCAAUAGAAGCAUUAAUGCUAAAAUGAGUAACUGGGGCGCCCCCCUCCAAGCGCAAACUUACACACUCACUUUAUUAACAGACACUACCCAAUAUCUCAAUUACAACAAGAUUUAGAUAUUAAGCUUACCCUGUUACCCCAACUAAGGAGCGCCUACUAGGAAGAUUAAAGUCUGUAAAAGGAACUAGGCAAACCCAAGGCCCGACUGUUUACCAAAAACAUAGCCUUCAGCCCACCAAGUAUUGAAGGUGAUGCCUGCCCAGUGACAUAAUGUUUAACGGCCGCGGUAUCCUAACCGUGCGAAGGUAGCGCAAUCAAUUGUCCCAUAAAUCGAGACUUGUAUGAAUGGCUAAACGAGGUCUUAACUGUCUCUUACAGAUAAUCAGUGAAAUUGAUCUCCCUGUGAAAAAGCAGGAAUCCCUACAUAAGACGAGAAGACCCUGUGGAACUUGAAAAUCAACGGCCACUGCGCACAAAUUCAAGCCUACUAGGCUCAUUACCCCUAAAAACUGGUCCGUAUUUUUCGGUUGGGGCGACCUUGGAGAAAAACAAAUCCUCCAAAAAUAGGACCACAUCUCCUAACCAAGAGCAACCCCUCAACGUACUAACAGUAACCAGACCCAAUACAAUUGAUAAAUGGACCAAGCUACCCCAGGGAUAACAGCGCAAUCUCCUCUAAGAGCCCACAUCGACGAGGGGGUUUACGACCUCGAUGUUGGAUCAGGACAUCCUAAUGGUGCAGCCGCUAUUAAGGGUUCGUUUGUUCAACGAUUAAUAGUCCUACGUGAUCUGAGUUCAGACCGGAGCAAUCCAGGUCGGUUUCUAUCUAUGAUAAACUUUCCCCAGUACGAAAGGACCGAGAAAGUGGGGCCAAUACUACAAGCAUGCCCCCUCCCCAAGUAAUGUACUCAACUAAAUUACUAAAGGACAUCCCACACUACUACUCCUAGAAAAGGACCA
RNAcentral lists this ribosomal RNA (1591 nucleotides) under Synthliboramphus wumizusume. Its description in RNAcentral is "16S ribosomal RNA". It matches the Rfam family "Bacterial large subunit ribosomal RNA". The record is from RNAcentral. Lineage: Eukaryota; Metazoa; Chordata; Aves; Charadriiformes; Alcidae.